This 1538-nucleotide long non-coding RNA is filed under the name Salmo salar (Atlantic salmon). Its description in RNAcentral is "lncRNA (ENSSSAG00000109938.1)". Lineage: Eukaryota; Metazoa; Chordata; Actinopteri; Salmoniformes; Salmonidae. The record is from RNAcentral.
UUUCUCCUUGACCUCCUCGAGACCUUCAACGGCGAGAAGGGGGUCGACACCCUGGGCAUCCCGUUGCUGGACUCAAUCCGCAUCCAGGAAAUCUGGAAAGAGCAGAGGCGCCACCUCCACUGCAUACAGGACCCACCCGGUGUACAGCUGUACACCGAGACUGGCAAAAUCACCAAGGGCAGCGUGAUUUUGCCGGUUUAUCGCUGCGCACCGGGCUCCACAUCCUUGGAGUCAUUCCACCUCCACCGGUUCAUCCCAGGUAAUUGUCAUUGUGGAACUUAAUGUUUAAUGUUAACAGCAACAGGUCUCCCAACCUAAUCAUGUAUUGUUCUCUCAGGUACCAGGGCAAAUGCAAUGCAUUUCCAGGCAUUCCUGUUGGAUGGACUGGUGAGGUGGAACGAGGACCGUGCGCAGACAGCAGUGGAGGGAAAGAACAGGCAGCCCCUGCUCUCCUACAGUGGCCACCUGCAGCACAUCCUUAACCUUAGCAGCCAAAAAGUGCUUGGCAAGGAACAGGGUAAGGACUACACCAAGCCUAGCAAGUACACGGGGGAACUCCUCGGAGUGGAGUACCUGUACUCGCAGACUGGCAGAGUGCUGCAGGAUGUCAGCGCGGACCCUGACCUUCCGGAAGAGGCAGCCGCCGUUGUGCAGCUCGACGAGGAGGACGAGGGCUUUCAGGAGGAUGUGGACCAGACAGUCCACAUCUCUCAUGUCACUCCCAUGAUCGCCCCGUCCUCCAGCUCAGCGGCACCUCUGUCAGGGGAACCCGCUGACACACUCAGGUCUGGGCCAUCCAGUCCCACCGCCCCUGAAGACGGAAGCUCUCCUGAGGCCCCUGAUCAACACGGUUCUCCUCACCCUGAACACUCCUCUGAUUCAGAGGGGGAGACUCAAGGCCCUGAUGCAAUGCCGGGCUACCAGCAUGUCCGCAGGCUUGCCAGGGCCUUGGUGGAGGUGAGGAGCCGUCAGGGGCUGUCGGACCGCAGGGUAGACGGUCUGGUGGCGCUGUGGCUGGCGCUGCCAGACUUUGACAAGCAACGUUUGAUCUACCCUGCCCGACACCAGGAGAGGAUCGUUCAAGGGCGGUUCAAGGCAUCGAAGGGGAAGUCGUCCAUUAUCCUAGGAAAAGACUCUCUCCAACGUUGCCUUCUCGGACUCAACUCGGGCCCUGCCAAUUGGCCGGGCACCAGCCGUUUGGUGGAGGCAAUUUGCAGUCAGCUCUGCCAAAUCCAUCCCAGCGCCACGCAGUCUGCCGGCGUCAAAAAGAGCAGGUGGGCGCUCAUUCUGGCUGACUACGUGGCCAUCAGGGAGGCAGUGCUGAACAGCCCGAGGUUGAUGGCCCAGACCAACCUUCAGCUCUUUGAGCUGAAUCAAAGGACCAUCAGUCAGUGGUACUCUCGGCGUCAGAAGGAGAGGGAGAGGAUGGUGCUGCAGCAGGGAUUGGGGCUCGCUGUUGCCCCCAGCGUCACCGCCCAGCCCCUCCCUGAAGCCAAGCCCCUCCACUACCAGCGGGAGGGAAUCCAGGCACCCUUCCC